GCUGGCUGAUCCUUCACUCCUUCCUAUCCUCUCCCAGGAUUCUGGAAUAGUCUGCAGCUGCCAACACACAGCCCUUGCCUUCUUCCUCCAGGUGGAUGGUGUCAGAGCUGAGUUGAAUGACAGGACACCCAGCUGGUGUGGGGAACGACACCCACAUGCCGGAAUUGGGUGCAGAAUCAACAAGGCCAUCUCUGAAGCACACCCUGUAUCCAGGACACCACUCCCCUGGACAGCCAGUUAUGGCUUCUCUCUCUUUACGCCUCCUCGCAGUGAACCCUCUUCCCUUCAGACCUGGCCUGGAUUGCAAUCUGCCUCCUUUGGGUCACUUCACAUCCUGGUGCACACAUCUGUGUGGAUUUUCUAGUUCAACUCUCAAGGACAACCAGAAAUUUCUUCUCAAUUUUUUUUUUUUUGGCUCAUGGAAUUAUCUCUUAAGAUGUUUUAAUAAAAUAUAUUUGAG
Hippopotamus amphibius kiboko is the source of this 460-nucleotide long non-coding RNA. RefSeq lists it as uncharacterized. The record is from RefSeq and is a predicted model, not a curated record. The transcript has 3 exons. NCBI's taxonomy places the organism in Eukaryota, Metazoa, Chordata, Mammalia, Artiodactyla, Hippopotamidae.